This 256-nucleotide ribosomal RNA is filed under the name uncultured bacterium. RNAcentral describes it as "partial 16S ribosomal RNA". It matches the Rfam family "Bacterial small subunit ribosomal RNA", at positions 524 to 776 of the family's 1533-position model. The record is from RNAcentral.
UACGUAGGGUGCAAGCGUUGUCCGGAAUUAUUGGGCGUAAAGAGCUCGUAGGCGGUCUGUCACGUCGGCUGUGAAAACCCGAGGCUCAACCUCGGGCCUGCAGUCGAUACGGGCAAACUAGAGUACUGCAGGGGGAGACUGGAAUUCCUGGUGUAGCGGUGAAAUGCGCAGAUAUCAGGAGGAACACCGGUGGCGAAGGCGGGGUCUCUGGGCAGUAACUGACGCUGGAGGAGCGAAAGCGUGGGGAGCGAACAGG